CAGCAGCCGCGGUAAAACGAAGGGGGCUAGCGUUGUUCGGAUUUACUGGGCGUAAAGCGCACGUAGGCGGAUCGAUCAGUCAGGGGUGAAAUCCCAGAGCUCAACUCUGGAACUGCCUUUGAUACUGUCGAUCUGGAGUAUGGAAGAGGUGAGUGGAAUUCCGAGUGUAGAGGUGAAAUUCGUAGAUAUUCGGAGGAACACCAGUGGCGAAGGCGGCUCACUAGUCCGUUACUGACGCUGAGGUGCGAAAGCGUGGGGAGCAAACAGGAUUAGAUACCCCAGUAGUCCCUGUCUCUUAUAC
RNAcentral lists this ribosomal RNA (301 nucleotides) under uncultured bacterium. Its description in RNAcentral is "partial 16S ribosomal RNA". It matches the Rfam family "Bacterial small subunit ribosomal RNA", at positions 509 to 807 of the family's 1533-position model. The record is from RNAcentral.